Long non-coding RNA from Felis catus (domestic cat), 4912 nucleotides. RefSeq lists it as uncharacterized. The record is from RefSeq and is a predicted model, not a curated record. NCBI's taxonomy places the organism in Eukaryota, Metazoa, Chordata, Mammalia, Carnivora, Felidae. The transcript has 2 exons.
UCACAUGUGGCACUCAUUUCUUAUUGUCCCCUUUUUGCCAGAAAGCAGUGGUGAUGAAACACGAGGCCAGUGGAGCUAAGGCCAAAGGCCAAAUUCCUGUGCAGUUGCUGAGCACUAGAGCACUACAAGGAAAGAAACAGUUUUUGCGAGUCUACCCCUGCCACCCCACCGACUUAGCCAGCACGGCACAAAUGUAUGCAAUUGGAGAGGAAGGGGGCUUCCGGGUCUGUGACUGGCCUGGUACAACUUGCAUCCCCAGGGGAAAAGCAAUCCAAAUUCCCCUCCAACUGGUGGAAAGCAAGGUCGCAAUGUCAUCUCUGCUCAUGAAAAAUAACCAAUUUGGAAAGUGCUGGUCCAAACCAUUCUGCAGAAUUUAGGGAGUCACAGUGCCCUGUCAGAGGGUAGGAAGGCUGAUGUUGCUUAGCACAGGGAUUUCCUCCUUUGGGCCUUUAUCCAAAAUUUAAGCAGAACCAAAUACUUUUCUCUGAAUAGUAAACAAAUUCCUCAGAGUAAAGAAAGGUGAGUACAUACUCAGCCCCUGGUAAUACUUGAUCCACCCCAGCUGUAUUCAUCCCAACCUAUUUUCCCCUAAUCUUAACAUUUCUUUAAAACAAAAACAAGUUCACAGACAAUGACUAUUUUAAUUUACACUCCUCUGUCUCCGAGAACUUAGUGGCGGCACAGCAAUGCCAAUUGUGACUAAGAGGCAGGAGGGUGUAGAGAAAGCAGAAUCCCUGGGUUUAAAACCUCUCUCUAAAAAACUCUGUGGGACUCCCCAGAAAGCCACUUACCUUCUCUGAACCCAAGUUUCCUCGCUGCUCUGACAGAGAUAAUACUCACUUCCUAGAUGCACUGGGAGGAUCGACUGGGAAGCAUGGUGAAGUAAUGGUUGUAGAGGUACUUAGUACACAACAAAUGUUACUGCCUGUCUUCUCAGUUUCAUUUCUGGAAACUGUAAGUCAUUGAAACACUGGAAUGAGAGCGGCCCUGCUGGAAAACCUCCUUGUGGAAGGUAUCUCCCCUUCUGCCACCACCUCCCUGAGGAUCAGAUACAUACUUCUUAUAAUUGCACACCUCCUCUGGAAGCCUCUCCACAGAUCCGUCUGGACUCACCCAACCUUGUGCUUCAUCCCAUUUUCUCUGUGGUUAAUUGCCAAGAUCCCCCAACUGUCCCUGACUGCAGAAUCUUUCACCCUCAUUGAACUGGCUAUCUGGUCCUUUCAGAUUUCCCUCCUAAAUAGACCUGGACCAUCUUUCUAUCACUGCACUCUGCACUUUUGCUCCUCAUGUUUGAACUAUCGUGACAGCCUCCAAACUGGUCUGUCUCCCUUCACCCGAAUGUCCCUUUUUCCGAAACACAUGCUGCAAUGCUGCCCAAGGUUCUUUUCAAAAAUCCAAUUCUCAUCAUGUCACUGCCUUGCUUCAGAGGAAUCAUGGCUCUAACUUUGCACACAGCAGAAACCCCAACUCAACUGCAUUCAUGGCUUUUUGGCCACGUGGGUCCUCUGGCCUUUUCAGCUACACCUCCAGCCACUCUCUCAGUGACCACUAUGCAGUGAACAUCACAUUUCCCAUACACUGAACACUCUGUGCACUUUCACCCCCUGAGCCUUUUCUCAUGUGGUUCCCUUUGCCUAGAAUGCCCUCUCUUUCCCAGUUGAUAAACCUCUUUUCAGUCUUUCUGGAAAGAACUCUAUUUCCUAUGUGGGCCAGUACUCAAAGGUCAAGUGUAAAAAAUUUUCAUGGAACCAGAAGCUCCCCCAGAGAGGUUCCUCAUUUUUUCCCCUCACUCUCUGGUGUCUCCUGGGAUCACCAGGACAGCUGCGCAUUGCAUAUUCUCUUGGACAUCACACAUUCUAUUUGGCUUAAGAACUACUCAAAUGUUCAUCUAAAGAUGCCAGGUCUGAGCAGGACCUUCUUAAUAAGGCUGAUUAAAAAAAAAAAAAAACUUGCUCAAAAUAGUUUCCUUCCAUCAACAAGGAAUAUGUGUGAUUUCCUAUGUAAUUACCACAGAUUUAUAAACCAGAACACUGACUGCAGGACUUAAGGAGGCAAAGUGUAAUUAGUGUUGGGUGAUUCAUACCUUGGACCUUGGAACAUGUCCACAAAGGUUUCCAUUGUUUGACUAUCAUUCCAGGAUAAAACCCCAAGUAAAAUAAUUUCAGGAUAUUAAUCAGUAACUUCUGGAUCUGGAACCAAUAAAACUGUUUUGAAGAUUACAUCUUGUCUUUUAAACUUAAUGCUUGCAUUCCUUAAUGCCAAAGUAUUCCUAUGGACCACGGCUAUGUUAUAAACAAUGCCUUCUUUGGGGAAGUGAAUUUGGCACUUGGGUGGCAUUGGUACUGUAGCAAAGGUCUGAUCAAUCUCAAGCUUGUAGACUGACCAUUUUAUGGUUGGAUUUUGCUCUCAGUACAUGUCUAAGUCAUGUACUGGCCCUCCUAGUCCUAAAUCCUUGACAAUUAAGACACCUAGAAACUACAGUGUGGGGUUUGGGCUAGGAAACAGAGCAGGCCCAGGUGACAGGGCACGCCUGAGUCCUUGCUGAGUCUUUUAGCAACUUUUGGGGCCUUGAGGUGACGUGGCAGGACCUGCUGAAUGGGGCUCAGGGACGCUAUCUUAUCUGCAGAAGACUAUUCCUGAUGACCAUUCGGUGACCUCCCAUCUUUUGCCAUAUUCUGGCUCUUUAUGGACCUGACAGGCUUGUGAUUAGGCAUAGGCCAGAACAGAUAUCACUCACUUGAGUGUUAAUCACCCUUCAGACCCAGGGUUCCCAAUUCCCACAGACUCCUGGUACAGAGCCAGGGGGCUCAGACAUAGGCCAGACUGGGUGUGGAAGAGACAGAGAAGCCUGGGCCCUGUUUGUUCUGUGGUGUCCAAGGCAGAGAAGAGGCAUCUAGGAGUCUCACUCUGCCUCCUGAUUUUCUUCACUGAGCAAAAUAAAUCAAGAGAAGGUGAUCUGAUUUUCAUUCUAAAGCAGUGGAUCUCAAAGUGGGCUAACAGCAUCAGCAACACUUGGGAACUUGAUAGAAAUGUAAGCUCUCCAGCCUUACCUCUGCCUACAGAUUCGGUGCUUUGUGGGGCAGGGCCCCACAAUCUGUGUUUUAAUGAGCCUACUGGGUGCCUCUGAUGCUGCUUGAGCUUGAGAACCACUGAUCUAAUGAAUCUUCAUGUUCAGUGCUGCUUUGAGGCAGGACUGGCUUAGAUGAACAGAUGUCUAAAUUCUGCAGGCACAGAAUUGGAAUAUUUUUCCUCUUCUAUCAACCUACAACUGGCUGCUAAAUGUAAAAUUGUCAGGUUCUUGUAAUUACACGUUUCAGGAGGAAUAAUAAAGGGUGUCAGGCUUCUGAAUGGAGGUUUUGAUUCAUACAGUAUUGUGAGUUCAACUUUCCAAGCAACAGGCCAAAGCCUCCUGUCCACAAAGGGGCAAGCAUACAAAUAGUUUGGCUGUUUCCAAUUGGGACCAAAUGGAAACCAUCUGGACUCCACCCUUAAGAGGUUAAUAUAAAUCAGCUCCAUCUGACUCUUUAUUUUGAUGCAGGUAGAACUCUUCUACCAAAGACAAAACUCACCCCCAACCAAAUACCUUAUGACUGAAAGUAAUUAUCCAUUGUGGGAAGCUAUUUUUUCACUUGCUUUGUGAACUCUGGAAAAUGGUCUGCUCUGACAAGAAGCUAUAAAAUAAAUACGAAUUAAACACAGGAUUUUUUUUUUCUAUUCAUUUGAGGCACAGAAUCCCUUGAGAGCCAAAAGACUUUAAUGGCUCCCACUGUCUACUGGAUCAAGUCCCAACUCUGGGGCUGACAUGCAAAGUCUUCCUUAAUGUGACCUAGCAUUUUUGACAGGUCUACCCACCCACAUCCUCUUGUUCCAGCUAAACUUGUAGGCUUUCGGGCUUGCACCGUUAAGCCUCUCUCCUCUCUCAAAUCCUUCUUCCUGUAAGUCCUUUCUUUCCACAUGUCAACUUCUAACUCCUCCUCAGUUUCACCCCUGGGGAACAAUGCCCUCCUCUGAACCCAGUGUCCAUCCCUGGGUUCUCUGAGUUCACUGGGUUCUCUAAACCCAGUGUCCAUGUUUGGCCCCUGAAAGAUGCUGCCUUGUGUGGCUGUUUUCCUAGAUGUGUAUCCUGUUUAUAAACUACAUUCUGAACCCCCCCUGUUAUGAACUGAGUUGUGUUCCCUCCCCAAAUUCCUAUGUUGAAGUCCUAAGUCCCAGCUCCUCAGAAUGUGAUCUUUUUUGGAUGUAAGGUCGUGGCAGAUGUAAUUAGUUAAGAUGAGGUCAGACUGGAGUAGAGUUGGCCCCUAAUCCAGUAUGACUGAUGUCCUUAUAAAAAGGAAAUCUUGGACACAGACGCACACAGGGAGAAUGUGUGGGGAACAUGAAGGCCAAGGUCGGGGUGAUGCAUCUAUAAGCCAAGGAACACUAGAUUGCCAACAAACCACCAGUAGCUAGGAGACAGGCAUGGAACAGAUUCCCCCUCAGAACAUCUAGAAGGAACCAGCCCUGCCGACAUCUUGAUCUUAACUUCCAGGCUCCAGAACUGAAGUCUCAACAAAUAGAAGUGGUCAGAACCUCUCUCCAGCCUUGAGAAGUCUUGAAGUUCCCAUACAGAUUUUGACCUUUGGGUCUGGGUGCAAUGUCAAGUUAACUGCACAGCGUGAUACACAGAUUCAGUCUUUGUCCUCAUUACCACUUUCUGCUAGGUCUAUAUGGAGAGUUAGAACUAGUGACCCAGCAGUUCCUCUGCCUUCAGAUGUCAUCUGGCCCAGUGUAAGGACUGUCCUCUGUAGGGCCCCCUACCUUGGAGACCAAUGAUCAUCCUCAUCCCAAAAGGAAUGCCCAAAAAUCAACUCCUCCGAAAGGAUCUUUGAUUGAAAAUAUCCCCAAAUGGUAAAUAAAUGUCUAAAACAAGUGA